Equus caballus (horse) is the source of this 11157-nucleotide non-coding RNA. The record is from RefSeq and is a predicted model, not a curated record. NCBI's taxonomy places the organism in Eukaryota, Metazoa, Chordata, Mammalia, Perissodactyla, Equidae.
UUGGCAACGGAUGUUAGCUCAGGGAAAAAUCUUCCUCGAAAAAAAAAACACCACAUUUAUACAUAACUGAAGUUUCUACUUUGCUCUUUCAUCUCUAAUAUCCAAGUUAUGGGCAUAAUCUUAACACAGACUUAAUAACAGCCAUCUAAAUUACAGCUAAUACUGAAAUCUCUCAGUAGGUAUUUGCAGAAUUUCUCUUCAAAUUUUAUUUUAAAUAAGAACUGUUCUUUAAUAGUCAGUAGUGUUUUUUUUUUUUUCCUGAUUCUUUUUCUCCUUUGAGGCCUUCUGAGGAUAAUUACAAAGGAGUAAGGGAAGAAUCGAGUAGAAAGAGCUACAGACAAACAUCCCAAAGUCUUUUCCUGUUGCUGUCACUGAUGGGUUAACUGACUGGGACCAAGACCGUGACCUUCCAUUAGAUUCAGUUUCCUAGUCUUUCUUUUGUGAAUUUUAGCUGUACACUUUUCCUGUCUUUAUCAAUGAGUUCUCAGGAAAAUUAAACUGAAUAAGAUGUGACAGAAGUUAAAAAGAAGUAAUAAAAAACACAAGAUAAUACUGUGGCAAGGAACAGUUUAUUUAUUAAUAUUAUUUUCUACUGAUUUAUUUAAUUUGUUCGAGAAAUCCAGGACAGUUCCUUGAAUACAAGUGUUUCUCCUAGAAAUUUUUUGAAAAGAAUUAAACUGACCCUAGAGGAGCAAGCAUUUAUAUGUAAUGAUACAUUGACGUUUUUAGAUGCCAUAGGAUGCUAAAUUAAUAAAUCAGUACCUUGCUUUAUCCUGCUGAAGUUCCUGCUAAUGUUUCAUUUCUUUAUUAAUUCUGGUAAAUGUAUGUUGCAGUGAUUUAUAGUAUGGUUAGGCCAGACAAUUUUUUGGAGAAAAGUCAGUUUUCUGGAGGGUGUACUCAUCCUUUCCCUGACUUACUGCUACCCAAAAUAUGAUGUGCUGGCAACAAGGAUACUAUGCACUUAUAAAGGAAACCAGACCAUAGUGAGAAAUUCCACUCUCAACGUUGAGCAUGGCAUCUCUCCUGCCGACUGAACAGAUCUCAGCAAAACUGAGCAAACAUGAAGGGUUUACCCUGGAGCUCAUACAGAGUUGGGCACCCGUGAAUCUGCUUUCAAUUUGUCAAGGGCUGUUACCACAUAUGGGUCAUGAAACAACACAGGGUGAAGUCGGGGAGCAUCUUCCCAAACCUCAUAUAAUACCGAUAAUCAGAUAUUCAAGUGAAAAGGCAGAGAAACGUGAGAAUCACAGAUCUUAUCAACUUAUCCCAGCACAUGACCACCGCUGUCAUCCUCUUCACACAGUCACCAUCAGCCAUCUGCAACUGGGAUACAUUCCUAGGGGCAAAAAAGACCUCAAGCCUUAUUGAGUUUCACAGGUUACUCCAGAGAUAUGAUUCAUCAAGGGAUAAUCAUUCUGAGCACUAUCUUUUUCUACUAAAAAGCAUCACUCUAUUUGGUCAGCUUUGAUGGCCCAAAGAAGCUUGCUGGAAUAUCAGGUUCCAAGUAUUAACACACCGCAGUGCUCUCAAACCACUGUUUUUAUCUUAUGGUGUUGGUACUUGGCACAGACACAAAAUAACAGAUGGCACAGAGAUAUCAGUGGUUUUCCAUUCAGGAACAGUGUUAUAUACAAAACUCAAUUAUGCACAAAUGGAUACAGAAGCCUUUUGUACAAGAAGUUUUACCAACUACCUCUCCAUCUGUGCUUUUAUUAGUGGUACCAACAAAGCCUCUUCAGGGAUUCUUUCUGAGGUUAAGCUACUCCCUUUAAUGAUAAAGACUGGAGUGCUUUGCUCAACACUCACGACCACAAAAAAUGGAAGAACAAUGUUGAAGGCUGACAACCUGAGCACCUGCCAACACCGAUCACGGGAUAUCCCAACCACCUUCCCUGAAAAUACUGAUGUAAGAUUUUCCUUCUGAUUCUCAUCUAUGGGCUGAUUACAUUUAUAGUUAACAUUGCUGGAUACUAGAUAGUCUUAAAUAGGUUAUUGAGGAAAUUUCCAAAACAGAAACAUCUUAAGUAAAGGUUCAACAGAAAUCACCUAGCCCAGAGACACGACUAGGUGUUUAGCACGCUGUUUUAGUUUUCUUACCAUCACACUGGCAAAUUGUUUGUCCCAAAGCAUCAGUAGGAAGCUCCGUCUGAUUGCUGAGGACUGACGUAAUUAUUGAAGUCAGUAGAACCAAGUAACUUAUUCUACACUUCUUAGCAUAACUUGUCAAGAGUGUCUGAUUUUCUAUCAGAAACUACUCAGAAGCCUUGGUUAAGAACGCUUAUUGAUUUUCAGGACCAUUUUGGAAGAAGGACUUUAUGACUUUUAAAGGCAACUUCUCAUGUUUACUCAAAGCGGCCACAGUUUGAUUUCAAGCCAUUAGAGUGAUGCUCACAACGCUGUCCCAGUUUAUCUGUCUAUCUACCUACCUACUUACCUGCAGUAGUUCAUGAUCAUGAAAUACUCAGAUAGCUGACAUAGAAUCUGUGUUUACCUCAAUUUAUUUUAAGAUAUUUAUCCACAGAAAGCUUAUCUGAACUAUCAUUCUCAAAUGACCAUUCUCUCAAGUAAAUGGUUAAAGUACUAACAUGCUCAAGGUCAGUUUUAUGAAAAGUCUGGCCAAACAAACAGUGAUGGAUUUCUCAUUGCUAAUCCACUAGUCCAUAUGAUGAGUCAGUCCCUUUAUUACUAUUGGGGCUAUGUCACAAAAGUGUCAUCCGCCCUGCCAAGAAGUAGCUGAGAAUUUGACAUAAAAAUGUCUAAGGUAAAAAAUGUCAUUAUCCACUAUGUAGCUAUGAUAUCCACAAGGCUCAUGCUUUGUCAGGAACUAUGGGGGGGGGGGGGUGGUUAAGAAACUCUCUCCUCUAUGCAGAUGAGCAUAAGGCCUCUGUCCCAAGAGUUCUAGAGCACAGGUGCAGCGGCAUGACACUUGCCAUAUUGAAAAAUGGAGAAGGAAUUCCCUUGAUGAUCUGAAAACAGAAAAUCAUUUUAAGGAGCAGCACUAGUGUGUGUGAAAGUUUUGUUUAACUAAUCUCCUAAGUAUGCAUAAGACUCAUAGAAACGUUAGAACAAUACCUCUUUGACAAUCAAGGGAAAUGGAUGCUAGCGACAUUAGCUAAAUUCCUAGUACAUACUAGGUAUUUAACCUGGAUGGAGUGAAGUCAAAAUACAGUAAUAUAACACCGUUAAGGCCUCACAAAGGAUAGACUCCUUACUGAUAAAUCUUCAUGUCUUAUAAGGUCAGGGAAAUAUGUACGGGGAAGGAUGUUGGGAAAGAAUGGUGUGUGUGUAUGUGUUAUAAUUUACUCUAGAAGGAUGCUACAGUUAUUUAGGGCAGAGAUUAUAGUAUGAAAUGGUGAAAGGAAAGAUGAAUAAUAAUACUGAAAUUAAUAUCACUAACAUAAUGUUAUGUUAUAUAUUAUAAUAAAAUAGCAAUAGAGAGUGGAGAACAUCAUUGAGAAGGAACAAAGUAGAAACCAGAGUAGACAGAAUCUGGAAAUUUUUGAUCCUGAUAUUAUGUAGGGGCUGAGGGUAAGUCAUGGAGAUGCAGAUGCAUAAAAGAAGAAGCCUGAGACGAAGGUCUCCACUUUGAAAGCAGAAAUCAGACAGAAUCUGUUCAAUAAACCACCUACUGGAUUUCUUGAAGACUCUCAUAACAUUCCAAUCAACUCUCUGGAAAAAUCUACAAAUACACUUCAUAGCCCUUCAGAGAAAUGGAAAAUACUGUCAACACAGCAUUAUAGCCAACAAAGAGAUAAUUAUUGAGUACAAAACACAGAAGCAAAGAGGUUAUGAUAAGCAGAAAUAAAGACAAAGCAUAUUUGUCCAAAACUAAUUUUGAAAGGAAAAACAGAAUAUUUAAAGGUUUAGAACAAGAAUUAUAACAUUAUUUGGCAUCAAAGGGCUAUCAAGCACUCAAAGGAUGCAAGUUGAGAAUCCCAACACCUCGAAUCAAUAAGCGCACUCGUUUGAACACUCCCAGUCUCUUGUCUGUCAUCUCUUAUUCUAAGCACGUGUUCUCUUUCAUCUCCCUUCCUCUGACCACAAUCGUGAGAAUAGGAAGACAGCGAGGGAGGACAAACCAAAGCGCUCGCUCCCAGGAAGGCAUUUUGCUCUCUCAUGUGGCCACCACACUCUCCCCAUUAACGUAACCCUGCUGUCUGUCUGGCACAUUAAAUUUCCUCAUGCCUGCUCAUCCUACUCUUAUUUCCUAUUGUUCUAUGACUUUUCCUCUCCUUUAUUCGUGUUCUUUUGCUCACAACCCUCACUUCCCAAUCUCUCAGUGAAAUUUACAAUUUCAGCAUGAAGACAAUAGUAGCAUAAGAGGAAGAAGAAAAUGUGGAAGCACAGGUUCAAGUCAGCUUAAAAAGGGUAAUAUAAAUCUUGAAAGUGCCAAGCAAGUUAUUAUUCCACUAUAAAGCACGUAUAUUGGCUUACUGUAGCUCCAAUGAACUUUGCUCCUAAAUGGUAUUUACUAACUCUUUACAAGGAAGGGUACAUUUCCAAUUGUUAUGACAUAUUCCCACUAUUGUCACAGCAAAGACGGCCUUUUAAGAUGGUACUAGUUAGCAAAACCAUAUACUGCUGAUGCUGUGUGUGGUGACAGCAACAUUUCCAUUCUCAAAAGACCCAGUGUAGCAGUGUGACACCACGGUAUGCAUAUUAUGGACAAGAAGAAGCUAAAGAGUGGCAAGAGGACUCGUAGAAAACCAAAUACUAAUGAAGAGAAUGAGCAAGUACUGCCUUCAUAUAUAUGCCAGCAAGGAUGCCAUAUAUAAGCUGGAAAGAGGGAUGGAGGGAGCAGAGCUUUAAGAAAUCUCAGGGAGAUCUGAUCUACCUGUCUCUUCUCAGGGAGACUUGAAAUUCAUGUUCUAUAAUGAUUUUGUCAAUAGGAAUGAGACCCAUUUCAGAACAGUUCCCUUUAGAAGAGUGACUUUCAACUGUUUCUCACCAUGACACUUGGAUAAUACUCUCACGUACAACGCAAUCCCGUACUCUCAGAUUAGGGGCAAGCACUAUGAAACACUCCGAGCUAUAUACAGUUCCUGGACUGCUGGUGGUAUCUCCCCUCCUCAUUUUAAAGAGAGCAUAUCCAAGGCAUAACCUCAAAUUUGCUCUAAUUUCUUUUAAUUCAUAUUUAAAAAGCAAACCUAAGUUACAAAUUUUAGUACAUUAUACUAAUGGGAAAUUACUCAUCACAUGCAUCUGUAAUUCUCUCCCUGGUUCUCACUUUUCUCUGUAUCUGUCCACACAGCUCUUUGAAUUCCAAUGUCAUUACAAACUUCUAUGUCUGUGUCCACAUAGUUUGCCCUAAUUUCACUAGCUGCUCUUAGUGGCUUGUUACAUCUAUAUAUGGGUUAGGAAUACUUCCAGGAAAGCGAGGGGAAGAUGGAACUUGCCUGAAGUAUCAGGACAGGAUAGUAGCUGUGAAAUCAAAGCACACUGUGAGGACAAUAAAGUAGACAGGCCUGGGGAAAGUGAUUUCUUACAGGAGAAAGAACCAAGGGACUACAAGGAGGAAAGCUUAUAUUUUUUAAUCUUGGCAAGUGACAAUACGUGACUAACUUUUUCAACACGGCUAGAAUUACAUAAUGUUAGUGCUAUGAUGAGAGAGACUAAAUAUAAUAUCAGCUUAAAUAGUCUGAUGGCGCUAGCUACUCAAAACACAUCCAGUUAACUCCUGGGUGACUGUGCCGACGGGAGAGGGCAAGAUGCAGAUAAUAUGAAAAAUGAUUGCUUCUUCUUCUAAAACAGCUCCAUUUAGAUUGCGUUUUUUGAGGGCAAGAACUACACACAGGCACUAAUACAUGCUCUCUAAGAUGAGUUGCCUGGGACAGCACCAGGGACAGAGGAGAAAGGUGGCAGAGACCAUAAAGAGCGACUUGUCAAGUGGAUCGUGAAUAUUUCAUAAAAUCACUGAAUUCUCAGAGUUGGAUGAAAUAAUAAAGGUCAGUGGUUUAACAGUCUGCUUAGUGCCGGAAUUCCUGCUAUUAUGUCCUACUAUUCAGUUUAUGAAACUAAAAUUCCAGCUCCAAACUUCAUAUAUAGGACAAAAUAUUCGCCCGGUCACAUCUUAUGUAAGGCAGGCUAUUAUAAAGGGUCAGUCCUUAUAUAAUAUGGUGUAGUUAGAGCUCUCAGAUUCAAAUCCAGACUUUAUCACUGGCUAGACAUAUGACCUUGAAAUAUACGAACUUAAUUUCUCUUAGGCUUCACUUUUUACCUCUGUAAAAUGAAGGUGAUGCAAGUACUUAACUCAUAGAUUUGUUUUGAAAAUUAAAUAACAUAUAUGAAGCACUUAACAUAGUCCUUGUGCCCUGUUUGCUAGCUCCUGUGGAGGUUCUGUAGAGCGCUAGUCCUGAGAGACUCAUUGACUAGAACAUCCACUCCAGGAGAGCAGGCACUUGCUCAGGUUCUAGUCUCCUCUUGGGAAUCCAUGACAUGCUUUGACAAAUAAAACGUGCUGAGAUUUACUACAAACAGGUACAGGACUCAAGAAGAACAAUAAAGUUAAUGGAACUCUGAUUUAUAAUAAACUCUUAAAAUUAAAAGUAAACUUCCAAAUAUCUUAGCUCAUUCAAUACACUGGAACUUUGCCAGACCACUAUCCGUCAUCCCAUAGAGUUCAGUUUAAGCCUUUCUUGGAUCCCAUGCAAUGGCUGAAAUACAAGAAGAGCCUUGUUACAUGUCGGCUUUUCGUCAUGGACUCAGAAAAAUGCAGAACUGUGUGAUUUAAAUAGAAGGAGAAUAAUUGCUUCUAACUCAUCAUUCCAUGACCUGGUGAGGAAAGCUAGUCCUAAAUAUAAUCUUUCUGUUGAAAGAGUAAAACUAACAGUUGCCAUCUGCAGUUGAGGUGGGCCCCGCGAUGAGGAACCUGCUCAUGGUGCCAGUGAUCAGAGAAUUCUCCCACGGCUCAAGUCUCUGCGGAGCACAAGCAAAGAAAGGACAGGGGAAGAGCGCUCCAUAGCAGAUCUAACUUGGAAUUUCAUGUUUGGAGGUGACUGAAGUGAUUAAAAUGUCCACCGUGAAAUUAAACGUCUUUUUAUUCAAAAGACAUAGAUAGAGGAUAAAUUCUACCAAAAUUACCAGAAGAAAUUCAUAGCAAUUUUCUCAUUAGGUAACUAGCUACGGGUUUUAAACUAAAUUUUAAAAAUCCCACAGUUGUUUUCUUCCUCUGAGAGGAUAGUUACUUACAGCUCCAUGUUUGCUAAAGGGAGUGCUACGGAAUAAUUUACUAAUAAUUUAUACACUAUAGCAGCUGGUGGCAAUAAUCUAGCCUUAAUUUUAUUAUAGUUUACAUUUUUAUUACACAUUACAGUAAUGUAGUGGAGUGAUUUUUAUUUGCACAAUGGUUUUCACUCUUGAAGAGAAUAUUCUGUCAUAUCAUUCUGACCAUUUAUUGGUACAUUUCUCACAGCAGCUAGAUAGAGACCUGAAUUCUCCAGCAAUCAUAGACUUAUUUGCACUUUGCCAAAAGCUGCUAUGUAAUGAGCAUAGCUACGUAAAUCGUGUCACUUUUGAUAUGUCAGAGAAAUUAAAUUUUGAGCUCAGCUCUAAGAAUUGAAUUGUGAGACAAAAAUAGCUUCAGAAUUGUCCUGAUGAUUCCCAAGCCACGCGCGAAGUUGAUUAAUGACAGAGCAAUAUGCCCUGACUAACCUAAUCACUUACACAUUUAAUACUGACAAGGGGAAAUGAGUGAUAUGAAAAUAUUUUUAACCAAAUGUCCUGAAAUUAUACACGUCUUUGCCCAGUAACUGAAUUACCCAAUAUUGAGCUUUACUUCCCUCUUUGGUUAUGUAUUGUGGAUACUUACAUACAUAUAAAUAAUUUUUUCUCAUACAGUAGGAAACUAUAUUUCAUCACUUCUGAUGAAAAAGAUGUUAACAGCUUAUUAGGAAAAGAUAAAGAUUUUUUAUUUCCCUAGUGGUGUGAUAAGGUGAUGCAUUCUCUUAAUAAAAUAGCAUUGUUUAUUGAGCAUAUUUUUCAAAUUUUAUCCCAGUUAUCCAUAAACGGAUAUGAAUUAUUCAAAAAACACCUGAAAACUAUUUAUGCUCUCUAUCAACAUUUUAUUUCCAGAAAUUUCCUUCACUGCCUAGUUAGUUUCUCAUCCUAAAGUAGUUGAUACUGAAUAAUCAAUUCCAAAUCCUGUGAAUUUAAAUUACUGUUAAUAAACAGUAUUUAUAAUGAAUUUUACACAACUAUCACUUUUUCCUAGGUUGUCCUUAUAUAGUAUGAUCCAUGUUGACUAUUUCUAUUUAAUUCAUUCAAGCUUUUUAUCUUUCUGCUUUAAGAAGCUAUGUAGUAAAAGUAAAGAAUUUAGCCUUGCCCCGAGAGAGGUCUGGCCUUCACCCUCAGCCCCUAGUGGGUAAUCUAUGUCGUACCUGAUAGAAAUGUUUUUGUUCAGGGUGGAGUUGGCCACGCCAGACAGUCUUGGGUGGUCACACCAGAAAGACCAACCAUGGGAUUUAGGUGGGGGCUUUGGGUCACACACUGUUAGCUGAUGGAGACUGAGUUCAACCAUGUGGGCGAUCAAUCAAUCAAUCAAUCAUUUGAUUGUGGAGCCACAAUAAAACCCCUAAACGCUGAAGUCAGGAUAAGUUUCCCUGGUUGGCAGUACUCCCUGCACAUUGUCACAUAUCGGUGCUGGCAGGGUAAUGCACACUGGUUCCUUGGGGAAGACAGUGGAAGCUUCCCAGUUGGAACCCUCUGUGUCUCUUCCUCUGGCUGAUUUUAAUGUCUCUUUUCCCUGUAACACACUGUGACUGAAAAUACAGUAGCUUUCAGUGAGUUCUUUGAGUCCUUCUAGAAAAUUACUGAAUCUAAGGAUGCUUUUGGAGACCCCUGGAGCCAACCCUUGCAGUUGGUGUCAGAAGUGAGGGCAAUCUGCAGAGAACUGUGUCCUCAAAUUUUGUGGCAUGGCUAGCUCCCAGGCAGAAGUGCUUAGACGACACAUUAACUAAAAGGCGCACACACACAAAACACUCAAAUACGUACCGCAGAAACUCAGUGCAAAGAUGAAAAUUAACAUCAACAGACCAAACUAUAGAUCAACAAACACAUUUCAGUAACUUACUGUCAGUGCCCUGUGUGCUUCCUCUCAUGCCUCUUGCACUAUAAGUGGAUUUUAAGAGUUAAUUCAAGUGUUGGUGCAAAACAAACUUCAAUAUAAGGCAAACAGCCUUAAAUAUAAAAGCCUCUAGAACUGAAAGUAUUAAGGCAUUAAUUUCAUUUCUUGAUGCAAAGGAAAUAGCCAUAUGGUGUAGUGGACAAAUGCAAUUUAAUAUAACUCCCUGUAAUCUUUUCAAUUUUUUUUGUUUAAACACAAAGAGUAGUUCCUUUAAUCAGUUCUCUUAAGACAUUAUUUUUGGACCCUGUCUCAUCACAGGAUUAUUCUUGUGGAUGCAUCCACAUUUGUCAACAUCAAUAUUAAAACAAAGUAUCUGGAAUUCCUAAUGUGUAGGAAUUUGUGUGGUGCAGAGCAAAACGAUAUUUCUGAAAUCUGAUCCGAGUUGAAUGAUGUUUCUUUGAUCAAACAGAGACGGUAGACCAUUAUAUGGUGACGAAUAUCAUUUUAUGAAAAGAAUUUGAGGCAGCAUUAAAACAGAUGAGUUAGAAUUGAAAUUUUAAAGUAAAAUAAAACUAAAAGAUUGUAUAUACUCUGCUUCCACUUAUAUUUUACUGUAUCAUCAUCUACUACAGUGAUUUGGAUCAAAUCAGUGUUCAUUAGAAUUAAUUAGAGAGUUUUUGGUGUUUAAAUCCUAAGUCAAGACAAUCUGGAUUGGCAGACUGGGUAGGACUAUAGGUUUCUACAUUUUAAUAAGCUCCCUAAAUGAUUCUGUUGCAUGUCAAAGCUUAAGAACUACCGAUCAACUAAGUUAAAAGUUUCUUGAGAACUGGAUCUAACAAACUGCUUUGCACUAAGUAAAUGUUGAUUUUAAAUUGAUUGCUUUCUAGGAAUUAAAUUUUUCAACAUUGUACAAUUUAAUUAACUGUAAUUGUUUAAUUUUAGUGAUUUUUAUCAGGUAAUAUAUGUGUUUAUAUUAUUUCCAUGACAAUUACUUUGUUUGACAGUAUCUUUAGCUGAAUUCAUUAUCAGAAAUGAACUCUGGCAAGUUGUUCUGAAUGUCUUAAUAUUUCAUUCGACAUUACUUAAAUCAGAGGUUUUUUCAGUAGAAAAAAUUUAUGUCUUCAAUACAAUUUUAUGAAUGUGAAAAUUUAGUUCUUCAUAUAUUUUAAAAUGAGGAAGGAAUAAGUAUAAGAGAAAUGUUUUAAAACAUUUUUCAUGUAACAACAAAAGUUUAUAUUUGCUUCAUUAAUAUAACUGUCCCUUAGAUUAUUCAUAUGAAAAUACGAUAAGAAUUUGAAAUAAGAAUUUGGGGUUAGAGCAAGUUGAAGGGCAAAUUCCUCGAAUUCUAACAGCUUCCUAGAAGUGAAAUGUUUACUUCAGUUGUUUGGAAAAAAAUGAGAAAGUCAUUUCAUUUUUUCACAUUAAAAAAAAAAUGCUGGUCUAUGGCCAGUACCCACUGACUUCUAAGCCAGCAGGCAGUGUCGUAAUGACAUAUGUAGCUGGUCAUUGGGGUAGGAAAACAGCAAGAAUGUGUGAACAAUUUUAUAAAUUCCUCAAGUGAUAUCCCGAGAGCGAUGAGACAGUAGCAUUAUUUUCACAGGUUUUAGGAAAAGCUUUUUAUUCUGUAAGUUCUGCCAUUCCUUUUAAAGAACACUAAAUUUCUUCUGAUAGAAAAUUAAGUUAUGACAUUUUUGGAUUAUUGUUUUAAUUUCUGUGGGCUCAACAUAAUUCAUAUUGAAACCGCAAAGGGAAUUUAAAAUAUCCAUUGUAUUUACAGAUAUUACUUGUGAAAUUACACUAUAAUCAGAAGGAAGCAGGAUGACUAAGUUCUAGAUGUCACAAAUGUCAAUAUCAUAAAAAAACAAUCCUGCUGUGGACACUCCACAUUUAAAGAUUUAUGAAUGCAAAUACUUAGUGUAUAUCUCUUCUUUGUCAGCAAAAUGAUGGUUCUAUUAUUUGAAGAUUAUCAAUAAUCCCUAUUGAAUAUCAUGUGAAAAAAUAAGAACCAAGAGUGAGAAGUUUAGAGAAAGAAAUGGAUGGCAGAGAAGGCAAAAAAGGUAUUUUAAAACAGUCCUCAGGAAAAAAAUGGAAAUGAA